This 301-nucleotide ribosomal RNA is filed under the name uncultured bacterium. RNAcentral describes it as "partial 16S ribosomal RNA". It matches the Rfam family "Bacterial small subunit ribosomal RNA", at positions 509 to 807 of the family's 1533-position model. The record is from RNAcentral.
CAGCCGCCACGGUAAUACGUAGGGUGCGAGCGUUUAUCGGAAUUACUGGGCGUAAAGCGUGCGCAGGCGGUUUUGUAAGACAGGCGUGAAAUCCCCGGGCUCAACCUGGGAAUGGCGCUUGUGACUGCAAAGCUAGAGUGCGGCAGAGGGGGAUGGAAUUCCGCGUGUAGCAGUGAAAUGCGUAGAUAUGCGGAGGAACACCGAUGGCGAAGGCAAUCCCCUGGGCCUGCACUGACGCUCAUGCACGAAAGCGUGGGGAGCAAACAGGAUUAGAUACCCCCGUAGUCCCUGUCUCUUAUAC